GAGUUCGCGGGAGAGUAAGUUAUUGCCAGGGUUUUUAUUUUGUAAUUUAAACCUUAAAUUUAUUUUUUAUAUUUUUUUAAUGUUUAUGUUUUUGAAUGUUUUAUUCAAAUAAUGUAAAAAAUAAAAUAGAUAUUGACAUGGAUUGAACAAAAGAUAUAUAUUAUUUUAUGUUGCAUAAACAAAUUGGCAAAAUAGAGAUGGAAGAUAAAAAUAUGGUCAAAGUAAUAAGAGUCUAUGGUGAAUGCC
Molecule: unclassified non-coding RNA, 246 nt
Filed under: Borreliella valaisiana
Lineage: Bacteria; Pseudomonadati; Spirochaetota; Spirochaetia; Spirochaetales; Borreliaceae
Description: partial 5S-23S ribosomal RNA intergenic spacer
Source: RNAcentral